This 640-nucleotide unclassified non-coding RNA is filed under the name Hevea brasiliensis (rubber tree). The record is from RNAcentral. Lineage: Eukaryota; Viridiplantae; Streptophyta; Magnoliopsida; Malpighiales; Euphorbiaceae.
AGAGGCCAAAACAAUUUCCAUUCCUAAUGCAUGAUUCCCAUCACUGACACUUGUGUCUCUACCAAUAGGUUCCUCACAAGUUUGAUUAUUUUGUGCCACAUCCAGUUUGGGUUUGUCUGUUUCAACUGACAAAAUAAGAAAUAAAUGCCAUUUCAGUCAGGUAUAAGAGCAUUAAAACAUAAAGCUACAUUAUCUUCUGAUACACUCAGAGUUAAGACACAUAUAAGAAGAAGAAAAACAAAUCUUAUCUUGCUUUACAUAAUAGGCAAACUGCUUGAGAAAAUAUUUCCAAAAUCAAGCAUUGCUAUUGCAUUAGUAGCAGGAACUCUCAGAAUUUUUUCUCUGUUACAGAAAGUAUAAGGCUCUAUAUAAUUUACUUCAUUCUCAGAACAACAUGAAUAAAUAAUGACUAAACAAACAAGUGUUUUAACAACUCCAGCAACAAGAACUGUUGGGCCAUCUAGAGUUAUCAUCUGGAUAUGAUUUCCCAUGAUGCUAAACAAAAUUGCAAGGAUAGCAUAAUGCAAAUUUGUUUUCUCUUGUUCCAGGUAUUUCACCUUUUAAAGAUUGACUAUACCUUCCCCUUUAUUAUUUCCUGGAUCCUCUAUCUGUAGAAAAGAAAUGUCCACUGCAUUUUUCA